UACGGAGGGUGCGAGCGUUGUCCGGAAUCACUGGGCGUAAGGGCGCGUAGGUGGCGCGGGCAGUCAACGGUGAAAGUUCGGGGCUCAACCCUGAAUCGGCCGUCGAUACUCCCGGGCUUGAGCACUGUAGAGGCAGAUGGAAUUCCGGGUGUAGCGGUGGAAUGCGUAGAGAUCCGGAAGAACACCGGUGGCGAAGGCGGUCUGCUGGGCGAGCUAGCUGACACUGAGGCGCGACAGCGUGGGGAGCAACAGG
RNAcentral lists this ribosomal RNA (253 nucleotides) under uncultured bacterium. Its description in RNAcentral is "partial 16S ribosomal RNA". It matches the Rfam family "Bacterial small subunit ribosomal RNA", at positions 524 to 775 of the family's 1533-position model. The record is from RNAcentral.